AGUUUGAUCCUGGCUCAGGAUGAACGCUAGCUACAGGCUUAACACAUGCAAGUCGAGGGGAAACGACAUCGAAAGCUUGCUUUUGAUGGGCGUCGACCGGCGCACGGGUGAGUAACGCGUAUCCAACCUGCCCACCACUUGGGGAUAACCUUGCGAAAGUAAGACUAAUACCCAAUGACGUCUCUAGAAGACAUCUGAAAGAGAUUAAAGAUUUAUCGGUGAUGGAUGGGGAUGCGUCUGAUUAGCUUGUUGGCGGGGUAACGGCCCACCAAGGCAACGAUCAGUAGGGGUUCUGAGAGGAAGGUCCCCCACAUUGGAACUGAGACACGGUCCAAACUCCUACGGGAGGCAGCAGUGAGGAAUAUUGGUCAAUGGGCGAGAGCCUGAACCAGCCAAGUAGCGUGCAGGAUGACGGCCCUAUGGGUUGUAAACUGCUUUUAUAAGGGAAUAAAGUGAGAGCCGUGACUCUUUUUGCAUGUACCUUAUGAAUAAGGACCGGCUAAUUCCGUGCCAGCAGCCGCGGUAAUACGGAAGGUCCGGGCGUUAUCCGGAUUUAUUGGGUUUAAAGGGAGCGUAGGCCGGAGAUUAAGCGUGUUGUGAAAUGUAGACGCUCAACGUCUGCACUGCAGCGCGAACUGGUUUCCUUGAGUACGCACAAAGUGGGCGGAAUUCGUGGUGUAGCGGUGAAAUGCUUAGAUAUCACGAAGAACUCCGAUUGCGAAGGCAGCUCACUGGAGCGCAACUGACGCUGAAGCUCGAAAGUGCGGGUAUCGAACAGGAUUAGAUACCCUGGUAGUCCGCACGGUAAACGAUGGAUGCCCGCUGUUGGUCUGAAUAGGUCAGCGGCCAAGCGAAAGCAUUAAGCAUCCCACCUGGGGAGUACGCCGGCAACGGUGAAACUCAAAGGAAUUGACGG
This 916-nucleotide ribosomal RNA is filed under the name uncultured bacterium. Its description in RNAcentral is "bacterial SSU rRNA". It matches the Rfam family "Bacterial small subunit ribosomal RNA", at positions 10 to 916 of the family's 1533-position model. The record is from RNAcentral.